This 1641-nucleotide long non-coding RNA is filed under the name Equus caballus (horse). RNAcentral's name for it is "lncRNA (ENSECAG00000054275.1)". The record is from RNAcentral. Lineage: Eukaryota; Metazoa; Chordata; Mammalia; Perissodactyla; Equidae.
ACUGAGUUGCCCAAAUAUAAAUACCCCCAGGGAAUACCUUGAGUGUAAGAAUUAUGCUGUUUGUUGAUUAUUUCAGUAAGCAAGUAUUGAAUGCCUUACUGCAAGGCAGACAGGGGAUAGAGUGGACAGACAGACAAGGUCCCUACCCACAUGGAGCAUCCAUACGGCUCAAAGGCAACACAGCAUCAAGGCAAAGGAUGGUAAGAAGCACAUGCCUUAGCAGAGCACAGGCCACACCCCGUACAGGAGACUGGGUUAGACUGGAAUCUGGAGGUUGAGUGAGAGCUCCCUCAGUACAGUGAGCUCCUUGGUGGACAUGCGCAGAGGAUUUCAACCAGAGAGCCGGAAGUUCAAGGAACUGAAAGAAUCUGCGUGUGGACGCUUAAAGUGUGGAGCCUAAAGGGAAGAAGGUGGAGAUUGUCACAGAGCAGAGACCGCUUGGACCAAACUCUUCUUGGAACCAAAGCAACAAGUCUUCAAAGAAGACACUACACUCUUCAGACUUGGAUUGUCAUCUGGGGAUGUUUGGAGAUGGCAUUGGAGACAAAGCUCUCGGCUUCUUGUAGAAGCAUUCUCAUCCUGGGUUUGAAAACCACUCCAGGCUCAGAAGUGGAAUCCACGUGCUGCUCCUACUAGUCCCUUCACUGAGGCUCGGGGUUUGUGCCACUAGUUUGCAUGAUUCUGAAGUGCUGUAGUCAGAACUGGAACUCAGAUACUAAACCCCAGAGUCAGAGCCUGUCUCCUCUAUUUCUUCGGCCUCCAGUAUAAAAUUUUCUACAAUGGCUGCAUGGAGAAAACAGAAAGAAAACACAAACUAAGAAGAAUGGAGGUUAGACUGGAUUAAAGUUGUUCACGGAAGAGCUGCAGCCCUUUCCAUCUCUCUUCCUUCAGUUUGAAGCCCAAUCACUGGAAAAAUACAUACAUCAACAGCUGCCCACUCACGCCCUGCCCAAAUUGCAAUUCGUGUCUUCAAACUGUCUUUGUUUACACCAGAGAAAUUCAAUUAGAGCAGGUAAUACACAUGAGCAGCAUUCCCAAUGGACCCACAGUCUUAUCAAUGAUUUCCUGUCAGUUCAAUGUUAAGUUUGGCUAAAAAUUUUGGAAGCACCAAAUAUCACACAACUACAAUGACUUGGGGUGGCUCCUCAAUGAUGGCAGAGGUGUGUGGCAAGGCUUGUUUUCUAGAAUCAGGAUGACUGCGGGCUGCCAGUCUGGUAGAAUGCACUGCAGGGAUAUUUGCUUAGAUUAUUUUGUUUUAAAAUUAUUAACAUAAAUACAUUUCAGAGAGCCACAAACCAAACAUUAAACUCACUUCUAUCACUUUAAAUUCUAUUUCUGACUUUAUUCAAUUUACUAAAAACUGGGGUGCCCGACUGCUUGGUCCCCAAUCCUGUCUCUUUUUUAUCUACAUUCUCUCCCUACAGGAUCUUAUUCAAUCCCAUUGUUUAAAUAUCAUCUCUGUGCUGAUGACUCAUGCCUUCAUGUCUCCAGGUGUGCCAUCUCCUGGGAGCUCCAAACUCUCAUCUGCCUGCUUGACAUCUCCGUUGGGUCUACAUUUAUAGUCGUCUUAGAAAAAAUGGCCCAAACAGAUCUCUCUCUCUUUUUUUAAGCUUUGUUGAUGUAUAAUUGACAAAUAAAAUU